This is a long non-coding RNA of Lytechinus variegatus (green sea urchin), 816 nucleotides long. RefSeq lists it as uncharacterized. Lineage: Eukaryota; Metazoa; Echinodermata; Echinoidea; Temnopleuroida; Toxopneustidae. The transcript is spliced from 2 exons. The record is from RefSeq and is a predicted model, not a curated record.
AAUUAAGCUCAUAACUUACAAACCUGGCCCCAAUCAGAUUUUAUUUCACCAAGUUAAGAAUUAAAUAAAGUACAAUCUAUAAAGGGCGAUAUGCUCUAGAUAUACCAACAUAUUAAAACAAGCAGCUCGGCGCACCACCUUGGGGAUCAGAUACCCUUCUAACGAAUUUGAAUUCAUAUUAUUCUUCUUAGUUGCAAGGAAGAAACCAUAAUUGGAAUAUAGGAUAUAUAUCUUAUUGACAAAAACUAUGUGGAUUGUGGUCAACAUGGCAGGACUUCGAAAAAGAAGAUAUUCUGAUAAAAGAUCGACGUGAACUACCCCGCCAUCUCCAUCGGCUAAGGGCGACUAAGCUGAUGUGGACAUAUAGGUAUCGUACUCCGUUAACGGACUUUGGAAACCCUUUUCGAUACAAUGUAUCCCUGAUGUUCAAGUUUUAACAUAUCUGUCUGUACAGAUCAGGUCUGAAGUUGCUUGAAAUCAAGCAAGAAUAUUUUUUUUUAUAUUGAGAAUUUUAUUCCUAAUGUUAUGAAACUCCAUAGCAAGCUUUCCAAGAUCAUGUUGUUAGUUAAUUGUGCCUAAAUUAAACACGCCUUUUAUAGUGAUAAACAGUGCUCCGCAUUACUCAAAAUUAAUAAAUUCAAUGUGGAAAGAAAAUAAAAAGUAUGUAUUCCAUAUUUAUUUCAAAUUUACUCCCAAAAGAUAUAGAUAAAAUGAAUGAGGGUUAGAAGCGGUUAGAAGAUAAUGCGGUAUGCACUUUAUAAUGCGAAAUUAUUUCACUUGCAAAUAGAGUGAAAAUAGGCUUAAUUCGUUUUUUUU